UACGGAGGGGGUUAGUGUUGUUCGGAAUGACUGGGCGUAAAGCGCGCGUAGGCGGAUCAUCAAGUCGGGGGUGAAAUCCCGGGGCUCAACCCCGGAAUGGCCUUCGAGACUGGUGGUCUUGAGUUCGAGAGAGGUGAGUGGAAUUCCGAGUGUAGAGGUGAAAUUCGUAGAUAUUCGGAGGAACACCAGUGGCGAAGGCGGCUCACUGGCUCGACACUGACGCUGAGGUGCGAAAGCGUGGGGAGCAAACAGG
Molecule: ribosomal RNA, 253 nt
Filed under: uncultured bacterium
Lineage: Bacteria
Description: partial 16S ribosomal RNA
Rfam family: Bacterial small subunit ribosomal RNA
Source: RNAcentral